Non-coding RNA from Anopheles arabiensis, 193 nucleotides. Lineage: Eukaryota; Metazoa; Arthropoda; Insecta; Diptera; Culicidae. The record is from Rfam.
UGUAGUUGUAGCUCGCUGAUACGGGGGUGGUUCCGAAGCCUCUAGAAGGUUAACAUAGGCUCUCCACCUCCUACUCCUACUCAAUACGUCCCCGUCGUACAGAACGGUAACUUGUCUCUCAAUUAUCCAAGCUUGGAUAUACGGGGAAACCCAACCCCUUGUGCGGAUGGGUUGCAUGGCUAAAUUGAGAGGG